Molecule: unclassified non-coding RNA, 267 nt
Filed under: uncultured Russula
Lineage: Eukaryota; Fungi; Basidiomycota; Agaricomycetes; Russulales; Russulaceae
Description: sequence contains ITS2
Source: RNAcentral
AAUUCUCAAAAACCUUUCUUUUGCUUUUGCUGGAAAGGAUUUUUGGACUUGGAGGUUCAAUGCUUGCUUUUCACCUUUGAAAGCAAGCUCCUCUCAAAUAAAUUAGCGGGGUCUGCUUUGCUGAUCCUUGACGUGAUAAGAUGUUUCUACGUUUUGGAUUUGGCACUGUCCCUUUGGACACCUGCUCCUAACUGUCUCAUGGACAACGAUGGUGCUCUGGUCUUUGCCGUCUACACUGGCGGGGGAGGCUGGACCCACAAAAGAAAA